GACGAACGCUGGCGGCGUGCUUAACAUAUGCAAGUCGAACGGAAAGGCCCUGCUUUUGUGGGGUGCUCGAGUGGCGAACGGGUGAGUAACACGUGAGUAACCUGCCCUUGACUUUGGGAUAACUUCAGGAAACUGGGGCUAAUACCGGAUAGGAGCUCCUGCUGCAUGGUGGGGGUUGGAAAGUUUCGGCGGUUGGGGAUGGACUCGCGGCUUAUCAGCUUGUUGGUGGGGUAGUGGCUUACCAAGGCUUUGACGGGUAGCCGGCCUGAGAGGGUGACCGGCCACAUUGGGACUGAGAUACGGCCCAGACUCCUACGGGAGGCAGCAGUGGGGAAUAUUGCACAAUGGGCGGAAGCCUGAUGCAGCAACGCCGCGUGCGGGAUGACGGCCUUCGGGUUGUAAACCACUUUCGCCUGUGACGAAGCGUGAGUGACGGUAAUGGGUAAAGAAGCACCGGCUAACUACGUG
RNAcentral lists this ribosomal RNA (468 nucleotides) under uncultured bacterium. Its description in RNAcentral is "partial 16S ribosomal RNA". It matches the Rfam family "Bacterial small subunit ribosomal RNA", at positions 28 to 507 of the family's 1533-position model. The record is from RNAcentral.